This is a long non-coding RNA of Anolis carolinensis (green anole), 310 nucleotides long. RefSeq lists it as uncharacterized. The transcript has 2 exons. The record is from RefSeq and is a predicted model, not a curated record. NCBI's taxonomy places the organism in Eukaryota, Metazoa, Chordata, Lepidosauria, Squamata, Anolidae.
AGCCGAGGCUCCUGGGAGUUGGAGUCCUUUGGCGUUUACCUCAGCGGGGAAGGAGAAGCGGGGCCUAGUGGAAGCCUCGGAAGGGACGCCAUGCUAGAAGGAAAGGAAGGAGGGAGAAAGAAGGGGGCGAAAGAGGAGGGCAAAAAGGACUGCACAUUCCUGAAUCGUUUCUGCAAACACCAGGAGUGCCAAUCUGGAUAUUCUGAGCUCCAGGCAGUUGGAGACUAUAUGGAUCAUCAUCGGAGUCCAGAAGUCUCUGCCUUUCCUGAUGGCUGCUGACACCUAUAAUUAAAACCAUGUAUAACCUGUG